GUACCCUCAAGCUUUGCUUGGUGUUGGGCGUCUUUUGUCUCCAGUUCGCUGGAGACUCGCCUUAAAGUCAUUGGCAGCCGGCCUACUGGUUUCGGAGCGCAGCACAAGUCGCGCUCUUUGCCAGCCAAGGUCAGCGUCCAGCAAGCCUUUUUUUUUCAACCU
RNAcentral lists this unclassified non-coding RNA (162 nucleotides) under Alternaria arbusti. Its description in RNAcentral is "internal transcibed spacer 2". Lineage: Eukaryota; Fungi; Ascomycota; Dothideomycetes; Pleosporales; Pleosporaceae. The record is from RNAcentral.